Molecule: ribosomal RNA, 134 nt
Filed under: Ephoron virgo
Lineage: Eukaryota; Metazoa; Arthropoda; Insecta; Ephemeroptera; Polymitarcyidae
Description: partial 28S ribosomal RNA
Source: RNAcentral
GCGCAUUGAACGAAAAGGCCGGUCCUCGUGGCCAGCCGAGGGAUGAUGGAGGGGGCCUCGGCCUCCUCUCGCAAUCCCGGGGCGUCUCGUCCUACGUCCGCUCGUCGGUCGAAGGUGAGGUGCACCAAGAGCAA